AAGGCCUUAAACUACACUGUGACACAGGGCAAACUGAGCAUGUUUCUCUAGCAAUUACCUACCGGCUUUGCCUCGGCAGCACCAGAAACCGGCAAAUAUAUGUGUUUUACCACUGCGACCUCUCAAGGUGGAGUGUGGGACCACCAAUGAAAAAGAGGACCUCCACCUCAAGAGCACAGAGAAGCACUAAUGUUGUAUUCAAGCAACCAUUUUGUAGCUCUCAACUCUGUGCCAGCUACCUGUAAAAGUGCUGCUGUCAUUUUCGGAGACUCUAUUGUAUGAAACCUGGACUGUGCACCAUCAGCAUCUGAUUGAAAUCUUUCUGUGCAGAACAUGUCUUUCUCUUUGUCAGUAAUUUGGAUUUGUUCUGGAAGUGACAGAGAUUUUUCAGAAGAGAUGGGCUAACAGGCAAAGUGCCCGGGUUCUCUCAGACAGAGCAGAAGCAGAGCCUCUGGAAGAGCAAUGAUGACACUUCCGUCCCAGGCCCUUAAGUUCCAACACUUGUGUCUUGCAAUAUAUUUAAGACGAAAAGAGACCAGAAGGUCAGUAAUAGCUGACACAAUUCUUCUUCCCGGAUCCUGUGCUGUGACAUUCUUAGCUAUGCAACACUGACCAAACCCUGAGAGUGAAAAUAUCAAUGCACAGAUGGAACGGAUCACAACAAGUACAAAUGUGUUUUGGUCGCUCACUGCGUGCAUGCUUUGCUGUGCAUUCUCCAUGCCAGCUCUACGUGCUCAGAGAAGAUGCCCAAUGAGGGAAACUCAUAUCUCCCCUUUGGUCCACAAUGCUGUAAGAGCAAGUCACUUCAGGAGGGAAGUGCUUACUUGAGUGCAAGCAACCUGCCAGACUGAGCUCUAUCCUGAAGCCUGACUGCUGAUUCUGUGUUUUUGUUUCUUCAUUUGCCACCAUGCAUCUGUUGUUUUCGUUUAAACUUAUAAUUUCAGUUAACGGGGUGGCCUGGCUAGCACCCCAACAUUUCAUUUGGACUAGUGCAUUCCUCUCUCUCGACGAGAAGAUAUUGUGUGAUAUUUAAUCACAUACAGUAUUAGUCAAUAGUCUGAUGAAGUUAAGUAUUUGCUUUAACAGGUCUGCUAUUUUAUAAAAUCAUGCAGUAUGACUACUCUUAGCAAUAACUGAAAUACAAGAUCAUGCCCCGCUUCAUCACAUUGGGCUUAUAUUAGUGCAGUGGUUCUCAACCUGUGGGGUGAAGUAUCAAAAAGGGGGGCGCGAAGA
Molecule: long non-coding RNA, 1233 nt
Organism: Polypterus senegalus (gray bichir)
Lineage: Eukaryota; Metazoa; Chordata; Cladistia; Polypteriformes; Polypteridae
Exons: 4
Source: RefSeq, a predicted model, not a curated record